CCUACGGGAGGCAGCAGUAGGGAAUAUUGGGCAAUGGAGGCAACUCUGACCCAGCCAUGCCGCGUGCAGGAAGAAGGCGUUAUGCGUUGUAAACUGCUUUUAUAUAGGAAGAAAUAGACCUUGCGAGGUAAGUUGACGGUACUAUAUGAAUAAGCACCGGCUAACUCCGUGCCAGCAGCCGCGGUAAUACGGAGGGUGCAAGCGUUGUCCGGAUUUAUUGGGUUUAAAGGGUGCGCAGGCGGUUUAUUAAGUCAGUGGUGAAAGACGGUCGCUCAACGAUUGCAGUGCCAUUGAUACUGGUAGACUUGAGUGGGAUUGAGGUAGCUGGAAUGGAUAGUGUAGCGGUGAAAUGCAUAGAUAUUAUCCAGAACACCAAUUGCGUAGGCAAGUUACUAAGUCUCAACUGACGCUGAGGCACGAAAGUGUGGGUAUCAAACAGGAUUAGAUACCCUGGUAGUCCACACUGUAAACGAUGAUAACUAACUGUUGGCUUUCGAGUCAGUGGUACAGAGAAAUCGUUAAGUUAUCCACCUGGGGAGUACGCCGGCAACGGUGAAACUUAAGGAAUUGACGGCUGAGAGNGACGAGGACGACGACGAGGGAGGAGG
This 608-nucleotide ribosomal RNA is filed under the name uncultured bacterium. Its description in RNAcentral is "bacterial SSU rRNA". It matches the Rfam family "Bacterial small subunit ribosomal RNA", at positions 338 to 951 of the family's 1533-position model. The record is from RNAcentral.